UGACUUGUUAACGGGUCAGGGAGCUUAUUCUG
RNAcentral lists this non-coding RNA (32 nucleotides) under Mus musculus (house mouse). The record is from RNAcentral. Lineage: Eukaryota; Metazoa; Chordata; Mammalia; Rodentia; Muridae.